CUAUUCUCAAUAUUAAAAGUUGAAUUACAUAUUUUAAGAUUUAAUUCUUGUUUUUUGAGGGGUUCCUUGUAAUAUGAAUGAAUUUUAUUCAUAAUGUUGAUCAGGAUUGUGGAGAGUGUAGGUGAGGGUGUGACUCAUCUGAAACCAGGGGAUCAUGCCCUGCCUGUAUUCACAGGGGAGUGUGGGGACUGUCCACAUUGUAAGUCAGAGGAAAGCAACAUGUGUGAUCUUCUUAGGAUCAACACUGACAGGGGUGUUAUGAUCAAUGACAAUCAGUCAAGAUUCUCUAUUAAGGGACAGCCCAUUCACCAUUUUGUCGGUACAUCGACAUUCAGUGAAUACACUGUGGUUCAUGCUGGAUGUGUUGCAAAGAUCAACCCUGAUGCACCUCUUGAUAAAGUUUGUAUUCUCAGCUGUGGAAUAUGCACAGGUAUAGGAGAUUCCAAUGUUUGGAUUGACUUAUUUAAGCUUAUCUAUUGAAAUGAACAUACGUGAGACUGUUUGAGAGAGCUUAUGAAAACAACUUAUGACAUGACCGUAAGUUGUUUUAAACUUAUUUUUAUAACUUCUCUAGGAUAGUUUAUGAAAACAAUUUAUAGCUUAUAUUGAAACACUGACUUUAUUUUUAUAUUUCAUUAUGGAAAUAGCUUAUGAGUAAGUACUUAAAUGAUAAGGGCUUAUAUUGUAAACUCUUAUUAAUUAAGCUGUUUAUCCAAGUAGUGUAUAAUAUAUCCUUGCAUUGAGAUAUUAAUAUAUAACUAGGUUGAGUAUAUGAUUUCCUAAUUCAAUUUGCAUUCAUGGUCUUAGGUCUUGGUGCUACCAUCAAUGUUGCUAAACCGAAACCCGGUUCUUCUGUUGCUAUCUUUGGACUUGGAGCUGUUGGCCUUGCUGUAUGUUACUUUCAUACCAUGAGUGUGUGUGUUUGUGAUACUGUUAUCAUAUAUAGCAGCAACUAAAAAGAUUCAAUAAUACAAAUUUCAGGCUGCUGAAGGAGCAAGGAUAUCUGGUGCAUCAAGAAUCAUUGGAGUCGAUUUAGUUUCCAGCCGUUUCGAAUUAGGUAAAAUGCUUUCUUAUUCCACCAAAUGCUUUAAGCUUUGAGAUAACCAUAAAUAAUGUGACUUAAUUUUUGUAAUAUUCUUGUUCUCAGCUAAGAAGUUUGGGGUAAAUGAGUUUGUGAACCCAAAAGAUCAUGACAAACCUGUACAACAGGUUAGUUCAACAAAAUAUUAGUAUUUACAUUCUCUCUAAACUUUGUUAGUUGAAUAUUGAAAUUAUGAAUUGAACAUGCUGUGUCAUUUUGCGUGUAAGGUAAUUGCUGAAAUGACAAAUGGAGGUGUAGAUCGUGCUGUUGAAUGUACCGGUAGCAUACAAGCUAUGAUAUCGGCAUUUGAAUGUGUCCAUGAUGUAUGUAAAACGUUAACUUUUUGCAUUUGUUGAUAAAAGUUUAUAAUAAUCUUUAGUGUGGCUGAACCUUUAUUUGUUGUUUUUCUUAGGGUUGGGGUGUUGCUGUACUUGUUGGAGUGCCAAACAAAGAUGAUGCAUUCAAAACUCAUCCUAUGAAUUUGUUGAAUGAAAGGACUCUUAAGGGUACCUUUUAUGGAAACUACAAACCCCGCACCGAUCUUCCUAAUGUUGUAGAAAAGUACAUGAAAGGGGUAAGUUUAUUUAUAUUGAAUUGUGCAAGCUUUUAGUAGAAGUGAGUGAUCACUAAUGUAGAUUGAUAUUAUUUAUUUUGAUGCUAAUUUGUUGAUAAUUUGAUACUGCAGGAGCUGGAACUUGAGAAAUUCAUCACUCACACAAUUCCAUUUUCAGAGAUUAACAAAGCUUUUGAUUACAUGUUGAAAGGAGAGUCCAUCAGAUGUAUCAUCCGAAUGGAGGAGUAAAACUCUAGAACAUUGUUGAAGUAGUCCCUACUAGGGGACUAUGUUCUCAAUCUGGUAGUUAAAAAAUAAAUAAUGAAAUUGAUUCGUUCCAUUUCUGUUUAUUGAAUUUGCGCACUUUGUGAAGUUUGAUUGGAGAGACAGAGACUGUGACAUUUGGUACCUAUAGUAUAUGCAAAUAUAAUGUUUGUUUUGUUAACUUCUUGCUACUAUUCUUGUAAUUUUUUAAUUGAUACUUUAGAUCCUAAAAUAAAAUAAAAAACAUUUUUUAUUUAUUAAGUGCGAAAUUCAUUUAUGAAAAAGGGAAAACAAAAGUCAAGAGGACACAAAUAAAACUUAGUAGAAUAAAAAAAGAGAAGAAAAAUACGAAUAAAACUAAAAAGAUUCACAGAUUCUCAAAAAUAGUUUUUCUCCGUAUCAGUACAAGAAUCAAGAAUACGCAUAUCAGAGAAAGUAAUACUCUUUUAAUCCUCUAUUUAUUUUUUGUCUCAAUUAUCCAUAAAAUUUUCAGCAUGUAAUACUCGAGCAUGUGAUAAUGACUUUGACCAAAGACAAACUUUUUAUGAGGCUAGUGACAAUGGGAUCACUAUUUCCUUUACGCCUAACAACCCUUUUUACAUGCUUUAAAUCAAACUCAAGUGAGGAUUUCUACAUUCUAAUUUAUUUUCGACCAUAGUUUAAGUUUCAAGGCGCAUGUAAAUGGCCUCUCGUAUCAUAAUUACAAUAGAUUGGUCUAAAUGUUAGGGACUUUGGGCUACUUAAACAAAUGAUCCGGGAUUCAAUCUCUAUCUUAUGCGUAUGGAAAAAAUUCAGUUAAAAGGGUGAACUCAAUUUGUGUGCCAAACAGAUUCUUCAACGGAUAUUGUUCACUGCUAAGCAGUAGGGAAAACUUUGUAUCUAUAACAUGGUAAUGUCUAACAAAAAAUACAACAUUUGCUUAUAAGGGACAUUCAAACUCACUUCGAUUGACUUGAUGGUGUUGACUUGGAACCUUGGAGUAUGCUGCUCCUCAAGGUCUCAUGUUCGAUCAUUCCUAGUGCUAAUUUAGAUGAGCUAAUUUCUCUUCUUUAUUUAUCGCUUUAAAAUAUAAAGACAAUAUUUAUGAAUUUUUCUUGAUAAUAAUCAAUUAAUUUAAUUGUAUAUUUUAAGGAGAUUAAAUGGUUCACUAAUUCACUUAACUAUUCUACUAUUACUACUUUUGUAAAAAAAUAUUCUACUAUUACUAUUUUUUUUCGACAAAAUAAACAAUAUUCAUUCAUUCAAAUUGAUAGAGUACAUUGAUACAAUACAAAUCCAAAUUCGCUAAAAACAAAAAGGAUGAAUCUGUGAACAAACUCACAUCAUCCGUGUUAAUAGCAUAAAACGACAAAGUACCCAAGCCUACAAAUAUGACUAUAUUCAUGUAUCCGAAAUACUCAUGUCUUCGGAUCUGCAACGUCGACGACGCCAAAGUCAUUGUCAUUGAUCGGAUCUGCACUUGCUCAAAACUAAUCUUUCAACCUGAAUCAAAGAAACACCGCACUAAGACGGGAAAUCAAAAACACACCGCACAAAGACGGGAAAUCAAAACAAACAGAGAGUCGUUCAGAAACGACGAAAUCACAAAAACAAACGAAAGAAAACAGAAAAUAAGUGAAAUCACUUAUUCAAUUAGGAUAAAAGGAAAAAACAAUUCGAAUUGAUGAUUUUUGGGUCAAAAUUGACCCUAAAUCACCCCUAAAAGAAGAAGGGAGCGACGACUAGGGUUUGAGAAGGAGAGAAGAGAGAGACCUCUUGAUAUAUUUAUUUACCUUUUUUUUUUCUUUCUACUAUUACUACUGUUUUUAUUACUUUUUUUUAGGGAUGUUUUUAUUACUUAUACUGUUACUAUUUUAAACAACUAUGAUUAACAUUAAUAUUUUAGAUUACAUACGAUAUUUUUUAUUUUUUUUAAAACAGUUUUGUGGUUAGAAUUUAAACCUCGAUCAUUGUAUAUUGUAAUGUAUUGUCUUUAUCAAUUGCGUGAUGUUAAUAGAGACAUACCCAUUAUUUACUUACAAGAAUCAACAUAUUUAUUUAAUUUUCACAUUAUUUUUUAAAUCAGAAAAACAUAUUUUGUUUUAUUUUUUUGAAAUAUGUGCCUAGCUUUAAAUGUCAGUUAUGUUAAUCCCGUAUCACUCUCAUCUUUCCAUCAUUUGUGUGGUGUGUGAAAAAUGAGUUACUCCCUAUGUCUUAUGUCCUUUUAGAAAGAAAAAAAAAAUGUUGCCAUUAAUUAUAUGUCAUUUUACGAUAUCAAAAAAUUAUUAAGGACUAUUUUUCUAUUGUGUCACUUUUCUAUACAUUUUCUAUCAUGUUAUUUACUAUUUAUUACUUUAUUUUUUCAAUUUUUUUAAUUUAUGUUUUUCAAAAAAAUAUUUUUGUAAAAAUAACUCACAAUCACUCUUUACUAUACAACAUUAACUAUAUUUCUCAAUUUGUGGGAAAAUAUUAAAAUGACCUAUUUUGGGAUGAAAUGAGUAAAUUUUAUGUUAUUUUACUCCGGUUGAUAUAGUUUAGGCCUAAAUGGGUGUUUGGGCUGAGGACUUGCACUCCAAGGUUUAGAGAAGAGAAACGUGGAGAACUAACUUUGAGAGCCGAAAUAUUAGGGGUAAAAAUUAAGUUUGAUUUACUCUGAUUGAUCAUUUGCAAUUAUUAUUUCAUUUUCAUUAAUUACACCCAAAUAUUUUACUGCCAAAAAUAAACUCAGAGUCGGUUAUCAUAUUUCUAUAAAAUGCCAUCAGUCUCAUACUCUCAUUUCAAUUUCAUUUGUAAAUUCAUCACUUUCGUUUGAUUCUAUCUUUUGAAAUCACAAUCACAAUGUUUUUCAGCAAGAAGCAGGAAGGAAUCAAAUCACACAUGGUUUGUGCCGUUCUCUUAUUUACUUUGAAAAUACAUGCAUCUAAUUCAUUUUUUUGUUGUUGUCAAAAACAAAAAAUAACUUUUCAUUUGUUAUUUUUUUUCGUUGUAGACUUGUGCUUUGAAAGUCGACACCAAUACUAAAAAAUGGUCGGAAACUACUACCAAAAUAUUGGAGAAAAUCAAAGGUAUGUGUUUUGUGUCUCAUCCUGCAAGUUUUAAUUUUAAAUCUAUUUGUUUUCUUAUGAUGAAAUAUCUAAAUAUACUAUAUGUUAAUGUUGAUUUUAGGUGUAAACUACAAUUUUGAUACAAAUGAAGGGAUGAUAUACAUCUCAGGAAAAGCAGAUCCACAAAAAAUAUUGAAGAGGAUUGCAAAACAUCAAAAGAAAGUAGAACUUUGUUGGGUUCGGACUGGAGAACAAUAUUCCUAUGGGAACAAUAUGUCUGCUUACCCUACAACAUAUCCCAGUGGAUACUAUCCCCCUCCAUCAGGGUCCUACUAUCAGAAUUUUGAUCCCUAUCAAAAUUAUGAUCCUUAUUUUGGUCCUCAGACUCAUGGUUAUCCUCCAUAUAACAAUUAUUAUAUGUAAAACAGAUGGAUGUUGCACCACUCCAACAGUAUAGUAUUAGUAUCACUGUUGGUGUUUUUGUGUUUUUUAUUAAGUCCUUUGUAUUGGUAUUAGGUCAUAUAAAAUUGAUUUAUGACCUAAUGCUUUGUCCUAGUAUAUGAUCACAUGAGAUCCUUUUUUUGUAAGGUUACUGCUAUGAUUGUGGACCGAUAUUUAUGGUUCAUUAUUAUGAAGUUUAAUGUGAUCCUCGUUAUUUUGUUUUGAAGCAGAUUUAUUUCUUUAUUUAUUUAUUACCUUUGAUCAUGCGAAUCAAAUUUCUCUUGACCGUUGUUUAAUACUACAAUUUUUUUUUAAAGUUUCCUAUAAACAUUAGGGAAAUGCUAACUUUUGCACUUAGGUACAUGUAAGAAAUUUAAAAUAGAAAUUAUGAAUUGAAAAUUAUGUUAUUUAUUUUUCAAGACGUUAAUUUUUUUUUUUUAAUAAAUAAUAAAAUUCUUAAUAUGUGUCCUUAUGAUAUAAGUUAGCAUGACCUAACAUUAUAGUUUAGACUAGAAAGUAGAAACUAAUAUCUCCUAAAAAGGAAUAUUUUUUUUAAUGAAAAAAAGAAUGAUUUUUUGAUCAAUCAUUAAUUGGAAAGAUUAAUUAAAGAAUAAAUCAUUUUAUUGAGCAGAUUUAUUUAUUUAUUACCUUUUGUCAUGCGAAUUAAAAUUUUCUUGACCCUUGUUUACUACAAACUUUUUUUUUGGACAAUUUACUUACUAUAAACUUUAUUACUAAUAUCAUUUUUUUUGUCCGACGUUCAAACCUCGAACCUUGUAUAAAUUAUGCAUUGUUGCUAUCAACUGAAUUUAUACUAAUACUCUUUUUUUGGUGAUGGUCAGGCAUUGAAUCCCAGACAUUGCAUAUAUUAUGCAUUGUCCUAUUCAACAGAGCUAAGUUCACGAUGACAGUUUAUACUAAUACUCUAAUAUUGUAGAAAAUAUAGUGUACGUAUACUACAAACUAAUAUCCAUCCUCUAAAAUGGAAUAUUAUUUUAAUGAAAAAAUGAAUAAUUUUCUCCUGUAUAUAAAAGAAUAUUUUUUUUUUACCAUUGCGUGAAAUUCUUUUACCGGACUUUUAAAGAGAGUUAUGUGAAAUGUAACAUAUUUUCUUAAAAAGAGUUAUGAGAAAUGUAACAGAUUGUCUUUAUGUUAGAUAAGAUUAGAUAACACUACGGAUAUUUUUGUUGUGAUUAUCUUAUUCUUAACCAUUUGUUUGAUCUAUUAGCACCUGAUAAAUUUUCAAAUCAUUACUGUAACGUUCUGGAUUUUAAAUCAAAGACAUUAUGUUUAAUUCUUUUUUUUUAGACAAGACUAUUUUGUUUUUUCUUAACUAGAACAUAACAAAAAUUAAGUAAAUUAAUUAAAUCCUUUGGUAAAUUAAGACUAAAAAAAUUUCUCAAAAAAAAAAAAUUAAGUAAAUUAAUUUAAUUACAAUUCAGAAAACCCAAAUCCUUUGGUAGCUAAAAUGUUGGUUGCAAGGGUUAGUCUUCAACACCCAUGAAAUAAAAUCAAUAAUAAAUUACAACAUCAAAUAGGUGGCAUUUCACAUGGGAAAGGUUAAUUUUUCAACAUAUUCUUUUAAGUGAAGGACAUAUCUUUUAACACUAGAUUUUUCUUCACACUAUCUUUCAACAAUUUAAAAAUUCUAAAAAUUAAUUUUCAGAAAUUAAAAAAAUAUAAAAAAUUCAGAUAAUUUUUUUUAAAAUUCUGUAAUUCAUUUAUUGAAUGUUAAAUUAUUUUUCUUGAAAAAAAAAAUUGUUCAGAAUUUAAUUUCAAAAAAUUAUUUCAAAAUAUUUUCAAAAACCUUAUUUUCCAGAAUUUUAUUUUCUUAGAAAAAUAAAAAACUUUAAUUUUAAAAUAUUUUUUUUAGGAUUUCUAUUUUAUUUUUCAGAAUAUCUUAUUUUAUUAUGAAAUUAAAAAAUAUAUUCUUUUUAGAAAAAUAAAAACUUAUCUUAGUUUCCAAAAUUUUAAUUUUAUUGAAAUAAUUAUUUUUUUUUUCAAAAAAAAAUUCUAACAUUCAAUAAAUAAAUUACAAAAUAAAAAAAUAUAUAUAUGAAUUUUUUUAUAUUUUUUUAAUUUCUGAAAAUUAAUUUUCAGAAUUUUUAAAUUGUUAGAAUAUAGUGUGAAGAAAAAUCUAGUGUUGAGAGAGCAUGUUAAGAAUAUGUUCUUCACUUAAUCUAAUCAUUGAAUACAACUAUCAUCAAGGAAUUGUGCUAAAAUAAUUUCUUUUUAGUUUAAAAUAUUGAUCACUAUAAAACAUGCUAUAAGAACAAACACAAGACCCAAACUCAAUGUUGGAGAUGCAGAUGCAUGAAAUGCAAACAGACCAUGAUCCGGAUAUCGCCCCAAUUGGCAUAAUAGUUUUAAUCGCCUCAUUUGACAUAUAAUAAUAAUCGCCCCAUUUGACACAUAAUAAUAAUCGCCCCAUUUGGCACUUAAAAAAUCCAUUGAAUCGCCCCAAUUGGCAUAUAAUAAUAAUCGUCCAAUUUGGCACUUAAAUCCAUUGAAAUAAUAAUAAUCGCCUCAUUUGGCACUUAAGAAUCCUUUGAAAUAAUAAUAAUCGCCCUAUUUGGCACUUAAGAAUCCACUGAAACAAUAAUAAUAAUAAUCGCCACAUUUGGCACUUAUAAAUCCAUUGAAAUAAUAACAAUCGCCCCAUUUGGCACUUAAAGAUCCAUCAAAUGCAAUGAUAUGCAUGCUAUGCACUUUUCUAUAAAUUACAAACUUUUCUGACUCUUGAACCACAUAAUUAUCAAUUUCAUAUCAUCACUAAACUUCAAAAUCAGUAAACUUUAACACAACCACAUAUACAACGAAAAUCACUUUAACUCAACAGCAUUUCUCAUUGCAUAAAUAAGAAAACAUCAAGAUUUACACAUUCAUCAAAUCACAUACUUUAACAAAAUUGCAACUCACCAAUUCAUAUAAUUAUCAACUACAAGAAAAUUAAUAAAAUAUAAUAAAUCUUUUCACUCAUCCAUGAAUCAAGAAGCAUAUUAAAUUCAACGUCAUAAUCUAUCAUUUUCAAUUAAAUCAUGGCCAAGACUAGGGCCCUUACCUUAGGAGCUUUACUUCCUUAACACUACUUUAAGUCUCAAAUUCGUGUAUGUAUUGCAGCCACUAUUCUCUUACUCUAGACAUACUUUGACGAUCAGAUCGUUGAAAACGAAGAAUCACGUGUUAUGAACACCGCCAAAAAUCAGCCCAAUCAAACUAUCAACGAAACCGUAGUCGCGAUUCUUAGGCUUCCAUGAAUUUUACAGAAAAGUGGUUGAUAGAUGAAUACUUAAAGGACUAAGAAAGUAAUUUGGAUGAACAAGAGAUGACAAUGGGAUUAAGGGUGUGAUGCGUGAAUGAUUAGCUUGAGAGCACAUGAUUUAUAAAGGAAAAGGCAUGCAGAUGAGGUCUGAUAUUGUUAUGAUGUGAGACGGCAAGGAGCACGGUUAUGGGAGUUAGAGAAACAAAUAAAGGAUUUUGCAAUAUGAAUUGUGAUAGCCUAAAAUAACUAACUAAAAGAAAAAUACUCCACUCACACAAUCCUAAACGUGGGUUAUUGUUAUGGAGGAACUUGUCAAUCCACUAACCUCCUAAAACGUGCACAAACACACAGGCUCACUAUAUUUUUCUGUUUAAUUGAAUUAUUUCUUUUCUUAAAUUAAACCUUCUUAAUUUAUUUUUGAGAAAUUAACUUGAUUCUGCACACAAAAGAACCUUACUAACCCCUUUCUACUUUUCAAAUAAAAGUAAAUCAUAUAACUAUGCUAUUGGUAUCAGGUGUUGCGUUAGUAGAAUAGGUAAGACUAGUUUACCACUUCUAUCUAAUUUAAUAAAAUAAACUAAAAGCUAAUGUAUCACACCCAAUAAAAAUAGUAGAUAAAUAAUAUUUUAAUUAAAGCAAAGAGUGUCACAUUAAAUUGUCUAAAUAUAAUAAAUAAAUAAAUAAAUUAUUAAUUAAAUAAAAAUGAAGAAAUUCAUUAAGAAGGACAUAUAUAUAAUUUCAUAAAAAUAUCGGGAUGUUACAAAUACGGUAGUUAUUAGAGGAAAAAAUAUGUCGAGAUGACCGUGUAGUUAAACCAAAUUCAUAUUCUAACAUAGUGAUAUUCUUAACAAUUUGUUUGAUUUUUUUAGUUCAGAGAAAACCUUCCAAAUUGUUCAGGGACAUGCAGCGUAGUAAAACCAAAUUCCCGUCCCCAUACUCUAAUUCUAUAUAGUUGUUAUCCAUUACCAUACCUGUAUCCAGCACAAAUGAGAAAUUUAAUUACAUCCCCAUCUUUGAUGGGUAUGGGUAUCAUCACCCCAUCUCCGCGGUGGAUAAUUUUUUAUAAUAAAAAUAAAAGUAUUUUUCAACCCCGAAUCAAUGUUGUAAUGCAUUAUCCAGUAAAUAGAUGAUAACGAUCAAUGACUAUGAUGAUGGAGAAGAGAGGUCGGGAGUGUGAGAGAUGGAAGGAGAAAAGAGAGAACUAUGAUAAACGAGUGUCAUAUGAAAUAUCACUGAAAUGAUCUAGAGUUUGAGUUUCUAUUUAUAUAGAAGGAUAAUAAAUUGAUUUUCUACAUUUGAGAUGAGCUUGGGUAUGGGUUCGGCGUAGAUACUUAUAUCCCGUCACCUGUACCUGUGCUUUGAAAUCGAGGAAAACUCAUACUCAUAUCCAAACCUAGUCAAAACGAGAAAAACCCGUCCAAUUAGGUUUGGUUCAGGCUGAUACCCGCGGGCAUGAGUUAUGUCUCCCAUUUUGAAUUGCUCAUUUCCCUAAAAAGUCGAACGUAAGUUAACUCAUGUAGUGUAUUUUCAACAUGAAUUAACUCACAUAUGUGUAUUUUUCAAUGUGAGUUAACUUACAUAACAUGUGAGCAUAAAAGAAGAGCAAGUCCCCCAUAAAAAAAUGUCGAAAAAACACGUCAAAAAAAAUAUUGAGAUUACCUAUCACAAUGGGGUGCUUAGUUUGUAAGACCAUCUACAAUGGGGAGUCCUUCCCCAAGCACCAUUGUAAAUAGGCACCAUCUCUCUUCUAUUACUCAUGGGUUCCACGUGUUCAAUUAAUUCUAUUAUAUAUAUAUAUAUAUAUAUAUAUAUAUAUAUAUAUAUAUAUAUAUAUAUUUAAUUAUUGUAUUAUUUUGAUAUUAAAAAAAUAAUUAUAUAAUAGUUGUAAAUAAUAAUUGAAUUUGAUUUCCUUAAAAAAAAAUAGUUGAAGAUAAUAUUGCAUAAUAUGAUUGUAGAAGACGAACAACACAUAUGAUGGUAAUUUUAAUUAUGAUCAUUCCAACAAUGAUUUUGCAAGGAAUGAAAUACAUAAUGGUCCUCAUCCAAAUAUUGCCCCGUAUCUACAAAGGAGAGCACAAAUUUAAGAUAGACAAACUCAUCUUCAACUUCAACUUCAACAUGAUCUUGUGGAGCAUAUUUGAUAACGCUUGAGUGAUAGUCAAUAAGAUUAGUUGUUAUUUAGAUUAUGUAAUUUAUCAUCAUUUAUUUUAUAUUGUUUUUUCCAGUUUUAACUUUUUCUUGAAUUAUUAAUAAAAAUAAAAAUGUUUGUUUUUUUAAUAAUUUAUAAUUAAAUUAUUUUAAUAUUUUAAAAUUAUAUAAAUAUGAAUGAGUAUAUAAAUUAUUGUUAAAAUGUAAUGAUAUAGAGUUAUUGUUGGGACCUAAUUAAUAAUUAUUUUAAAGUGCUGGGUUGGAGAGAUUGAGUGGUUAUUAAAUAUUAAUUAUAAAACGAACGACGUAUACAGUCAGAAUCCAUUUAAGCAUCCAAUUUGGGUGCUGCAUUGUAGAUGGUCUAAAUUCUUUAUAGGGUUUAAUUUUACUAUUUAGUAAAUAUCGGCAUGCUGGUUUUUAAUUCUAUUUUUUUUCCCCUUGUUUAGAGUCAACUCCAUUGUUCCCGAUAAAAUAAAUUAGUCUACCAAAAUUUGUAUUGAAAAAAUUUAACUUAUGAUUUUAAGAAGAUACACUCCAAAGUUUAUACCUUAAAAAAAUCAUUUCAAAGUUUUAAAUCAAUACCAUCUGACCAACGUAAAGGUUGGUUCUCAAGGUUGAAAGUUGAAUCGGAUGUUAUAAAUCUUUGUCUUAUAUAUUUUGAUAUGCUGUUUUAAUUUUUCUCAAGUCUAUUUGGUUUUGACAACUGCUUUUGAAUUUUUCUCAAGUCUAUUUUUAUAUUCUUGUUAUGCCAGGCUCCAGAGAAAUUUCAUGGCUGGGUUGGCUAGGUCCAUUUUCACAAAUUACAAAACAAACCACUUUUUUUUUUUUUUUUUUUUUUUUUUUACAAACAAAACAAACCACUUGAUCGGCCACAAUUCCCCAUUAGGAAAAAAAUAUCAAUGACAUAAUUAAAAGAUAUUAUUAAAUGAGUAAGUUUUAUUUCUAAAAUACUUAUAUUUUUAACUUAAUUAUAUAAAUGGUCUCUUAACUUAUUUCUUGUUUUCAAUUUGAUCCCUUAAUUUUAAAUUUUUUCUGUUUGGUCUUUUAAAUAUAGUUCCGUUAGCCCUUUUAGUCCGAAUCUGUUAACUUUAACCAUAAAUGUGUAAAGUGGAUCAACAUUAUACGUUGUCCAUCGUAGAUCUUAUUAAAUUUUUUAAUUUUAACUGUUUGAUCUUGUAUUUUAAAAGGGAAUCGUUGGAUAUUGCAGGUUUAUUAUAUCUUAUUGUGCAUCACCAACAUCUAUUUUUUUUUUACAUUUCUUCAUCUUCUUCUUCUUCUUCAUACACAUUCAUCAAUCUUCAUCUUUAAACCCAUAAAAUCAAAAAUCAAACACUCAAAUUUAUUUAUUAAUUACCAAACUGUCCUUGUUCAUAUCUUCAUCUUCUUGUUCAUAAUCUUAAAAAAAUUCAGAAAAUCAUUAAAAAAAAGUUGGUCUUAAAAACUACCAAUAUUAACUAAAACACCUUUUUACCUUUUUUUUUCCUCCUUUCAAUAAUACUUCAUAAUAUAAAAGAGCAUAAUCACAAUAUUUCAGGAAAAAUAAAAAUGAAAAUCCCUCUCAAAAGUUUGCACCAAAUUACAUUGGACACUAAAUUGAAGUUGGGAAAAGAAUUAUAAAAGGAAAUAUUUUCUUGGAAAUUGUGUAUUCUACUUUUUGAAAGUUAAUAAAGUGUUCUUUUCAAUGCAAAACUUGACUUUCCUUUCUACUUUUAGUUCCUUAACUAAUGCCCCGGAGGCACUGGUUAACAAGACCCAAACCUAAUCAUCAUAAUUUGCACUAUAUCAAACACAAACACUAGUCCAUGAAUCAAUCAUGUAGAAUGCCCAAAAUGUCCUCAUCCCUAAACAAAUGAAAAUCUUUGUCAUCAAGCUUAAUUUGAGAGCCACUGUAUUCCGGCAAGAGAACGUGGUCACCUUCUUUGACAGCCAUCGAAAUGGUGAAAGAAGGUGACCACAUUCUCUUGAAUAAAAGGAACAUGAUGUUUAUAUGAACAUCACUACUAGAAAAAUUGAAAUUAGACACGGGAGAAAUCUGUCUCUAAAUUGCCAUCUUUCCGUCACUAAACUUGUUAGAGACGGAAUUUGAGACCGAUCAUGUUUUGUUGCUAAAUCAGUGGUCUCUAAACUGUUUAGAGACGAAUUUUUUGUUCCGUCUCUAUCGGAGACGGAAAAUUUCCGUUGCUAACAAUUAAAUUCCGUCGCUACGCGUUGAUGUUGUAACAAAUUAAAUUCCAUCUCCGAAGAAUAUAAUUCCGUCUCUGUAGAGACAGAUCAUAAAUUCCGUCUCUAAUAAUAAAUUUUUUAAUUUUUUUUUUGCCUCAAAUCAAUUCCACGUUGGCUGUUGGAUACUAUAUAAGCAUACAUGUAUAUUUUAUGAAUUUUGCUUGAGUGUAUAUAUAGAUAAUAACGUAACAUCAAAUGCUAUGGAUUUCCUAAUGAAUUUUGCUUAUAUAGUUAAUAACAUAACAUUAUCUAUAGAUAAUAACAUACCAUUAUCUACUAGAAAUACAUGUAUAUUCGACAUCUAAUGUGUAGUCCAUAGCAUCUACAAGAAAUCCAUAGCAUCCACUAGGAAAUCUGUAACCAAAAAUAUUAGCAAGCUGUAAGUAAUAAAACCAAGAUAGCUGUAAGUAAUAAAGACAGAAUUAUAAUGUAAUCUGCAUCUUCUUUAUUGAAACAUAAGAUAGGUGUAUUUCAAAUACAUUUCUAUAAUAGCCACCUUUUCGAAUCAGCAGUCCUAAUUAUGUGGUAACAACCGAAAAGUUUAUUAGUGGCAUAGAAAACAAAUAAAAAUAUGGCUUAAAGAACUGAUUUAGAUCAAAUUUCAGGCUCUAUAAAUCAGGUUUAAAAGUAGUAAGAUAAAAUGAUUCAAAUACAAGAUCAUUGUAUGAACCAAACCUUUCACUGCAGAAAACCCAGAACAACUUAGCCUAUGGAAUUGAGACUUUACCUUUCAUUUGGUCCAUCACAUGCAAUGUUUCAUCUUUUGCUGGUGUUUUAAGUUCACAAUCUAUGACAUGUUCAACUCCAAGAACCAAACCUUUUCCCCUCACAUCCACAACUGCUAUAAAAGAAAAAAUACAAGUUUAUUUAGAGAGAGAGAGAGAGAGAGAGAGAGAGAGAGAGAGAGAGAGAGAGAGAGAGAGAGAGAGAGAGAGAGAGAGAGAGCAAAUUUUGAUUAGCUGUUUAGAUAUAACCUUUUGUUCUCCAUUACAUGAGUGCUUUCUUGCGCAUUAAUCUUGGAUGGGAAAAGGAUAACUGAAGAAACCUUACAUUCAUGUUUGUCUUUGAGUGCGUUAAGCCUCUCUUUCAAAUUGGACCCCACUAUUCUAUUACUUUUCAAACACCCAAUCCCAAAGUUGUUAAAGUAACUUAGAUGAGUCAAGACCUUUGCAAUCUUAGGAGUAGUUACAACAACACCUAGAGGAAUGCCAUUUCCAAUACCUUGUCAAAAGAAAAAUCAAGAAAACAAGGAAACACUAAUGAGCAUACAUACUUGACAAGGUUAUGCAUUUCAUCAUGUGUAGAUAUAGAUGUUCUAUAUUCUUUGGCACAGAGAGUUAGCUGUUCUAUUUUCUAAAUUAGAUGAAGAUGAAUUCUUUCUACUCUGACAAGGAGAGAAGAAUUAGUUGCCUUUGCCAUUUUUACUAUAUUAGGUUGAUCACCAUGGGCUUCAAAUCCCUAGAAAUGGCUACCAUUGCGAUCAAACCUAGAUUGAACCACGUUAGCAAUACAAAGACCUACAAUUUUUAAAGAAAUUAGUUGUACUUCAUGAUACAUAAGCUUUUACAGAAAUCAAAAUUAUACUAUCCAAAUCAAGCUAAGACAUAAACACACACAACAUGAGACAAUAUUUCCAUACUCUAAAUUCUAUUGGUAAUCUGAAUUUUCGCACUGGUGUAAUUAUAAAGAAAAUUAUAGUUUCAAAACUUAACUUUUGAAAAAAGAAAUAUAUACCAGUUGUUUGCCUGUAACAGGGAAUCAUCUAUGAUGCUUUCUUGUCUAACUUUCCUCUAUGUGUUCAUUAUACCAAGCUUGUCAUGUAACUAUAUAAAUGAUAGUGAAUAUUCAACUCAAUACCCCUGCUGAACAUGAACAUAAUGUAUGACAUUUUAUCAAGUUAUUGAGUAAUUGAGUUGAUAAAUCCCAAUAGGUUAUAGUCUAUAAUCAAGGUAGUCUAAAGCUUAUCUAGAAACAGAGAAAUCCAAUUUAAAAAAUUCCAUAAAGGGUGUCUGAUUUCUAGCAACUUUGUAAAUAUUGAUAACAAAAAAUCCACUUACAUGAUGAUUCUAUAAUCAAUUUAUGAAUUGUUUUACCUAAUGAAAUGUACCGUUACACAUUGAAUAGCAUGACAAAGCAAUUUAUUGAAACUAACCUCACUGUAGUUGCUGAAAUAUCAACCACCAACCUAAAGUUCAAUGAGAAAAAAGUGUCAGUAUCAGUUAAAAAAAUUACAAAAAGAAGUAAACAAGGAUGAAAAGAAGUAUGACUCAAAAAAAAAAGGAUGAAAAGAAGUAAAUCAAUUCUAUUUUGCCAAAAUUAACAACUUCAACGUGAGAUUUGGCUAUCGACACAAUUUUCCCCCAAAUCAAAAAAAAAAAAAAAAAACCCCUAAAAUCCCCCUACACAACAAGAAUCAAAUUCAUCAAUAGAACUUCCACAAAAAACAAGAAUCAAAUAUAAAACAACAAGUACUCACUCAAAAUCAUUAGGUGCGGAUGAGACCCUUGAAGCUUUGUACCCUAUGCAAAAACAAGGAUAAAUGAAGGUGAAGGAGAACGAGGGUAGAUAAGAAAUGUAAUUUUGACUACGCAUAAACCACAAACCGUCGCCAACAUAGGAAGAUCAGUCGAAGACAGAGAGAAAACGAGGGUGAAGGAGGGUCUUGAAUGAAGGAUUUCUGGAGAAUGAGGGUUUUUUGUGAGUCGAAGACAGAGAAAUUUUUUACUACGCAUAAACCGCAAACCGUCGAAGACAUAGGAAGAUCAGUCGAAGACAGAGAGAAAAUUGUUUUAGGGUUUUGAGAAAAUAUGAACUGAUGGGGGAAGUUUUGGGGUUGGAAGGAUUUUUCUAAUGAAAAAUUAAUCUCGUCUAUACUCCCUUCCGUCUCUGAACUCCGUGACCACAUAUAUAUUAUUUUUUAAUUUUUUUUAUUUAUACUUGUUAGAGACCGAUUUAGACACGGAAAAUUUUUAUGACGGAUAUUUCUGUCUCUAAUUCAGUCUCUAGUGUUGGAAUUUCAGAUUCCGUCUCCACUUAUAAUGUUCCGUCUCUGAUCCCGUCUCAGCUAGAGACCAAUUAAAUUCCGUCUCUAAAUUCCGUCGUUAUAUGAAACUUUUCUAUGGGUUUAUAUGUUUAUAUCUAAUUUUUACUUUUAUUAAAAAUUAUGGGUUUAUAUGAACAUGAUGUUGAAGAAGAUGAAGAUCAAGGAGAAGAAUGAUGAAAGAGAUGAAUAAAAGGAAAAUAAUUAUGUGGUGAUGGUGCAAUAUGAUACAAUGGACCUACAAUCAAGUGGUUAAAAUCACAUCAUAAAUAUUAUACAUUAAAAAACUAACGGCGAGGACUAACUUCACUAAUGGAGGUGUAUAUGAGGGACCAAAUGGAAAUUUUUUAGAAUUAAGGAACCAAAUCAAAAACAACAAAUAAGUUAAAGGACCAUCUAUGUUACUAAGCCUAUAUUUUUUUAAAACAAAAUAAUACUAUUUUCCCAAUAAAACAAUAAAAAUAUAGAAAGGAAAGGAGUAAAAUAUAAGAAUUUUGUAAAAACUAAAAAGAAAAAAGAAUGAGGAAAGUAUGGUUACAAAUAUUUUUAGUCACAAAACAAUACAUAUCAUUUAGGGGAUGUAUUGGAUUAGGAUUCUAUGGGAUUUUAAAACACUUUUUAAUUAUGAAAAAAAUCUUGUGGUAUUCAAUCAAGAUUUUUUGCAACUUAAAAAAAGUCUUGUGGUAUUCAUUCAAGACUCUUUGUCAUUUUAAAAAAGUCUUGAGGUAUUCAAUCAAGACUUUUCAUCACUUAAAAAAAGUCUUAUGGUAUUCAAAAUCAUUCAAAUUUCGAAGGAUUGUUUAAUAAAUUGGAUUUUGAUGGAUUUUGUGGGAUUUUAUAGUGUAAUUUUAACAAGAAAAAGUCUUUCAUGAAAAGAUGAGAUUUCUUGAUAUUGUUUUUCUUUUGUAAAGUUACUAUCUCUCUCUCUCUCUCUCUCUCUCCCUAUUCUCUCCUUUCUCUCUUUGUUUCUCUAUCUCUCCAUUAUCUCUCUCUCUCUCUCUCAUCUCUCAUCCCCCCUCUCUCUAUCUCAUAAAAAAAUAAAAAAUUGUAUUGAGAAUAUUAUGAUAGAGAGUAUGUCGUAAUCAAUGUUCCGCAGAUCGAGUGUUAACUCUCCGAGAUUACCGAAUUUACGAUUUUAGGUACAAAAAUCGUGUUAACUCUGAGGUAAAAUCGGUUUCUGAUAAAAUUGGAAGGUUUAACGAGUUUGACUGAGUUAACACUCGGUAAACUCGUGUAACUCGACCGAUUUGUAAUGGCUGACACAAUAUUUUUUUUUUAAAGAUUUGUAAGUGCUGGCAUAAUUUUAAAUAUGUACAAUUGAAUUUUGUGGAAAUAACAUUUUUAAAAAAUAAAAAAUGUGUAUUGAGAAUAACGUGUUAGAGUGUUUUUUAGUCCCUUAAAAUCUUAUAAAAUUCAUAAAAUUUAAAAAUCAAUAGGAAAAGAAUUUUUUAUUGGUUUUAUUUUUCUUUAUUCAAACGCUAGAAUUUAUUUGUUCAUUAUUUUUAUCAUUCACGCUUGUAAGUUUGUUCUUUUUCCCCUAAAAUUCAUUGAAUCCUUUGAAAUUUUAAAAUCAUUUAAAAUCCUUAAAAGUCAGUGUGAUAAAUCCUUUAAAAUCUCACAGAAUCAAGCAAUCUCACACAGUCUUUUAAAAUCUUAAAGACUUUUUUUAUUAAAAUAGUCUUUUAAAAUUCUAAUCGAAUACACCCCCUUAAUUUAUUUUUUUUGGUCAGAAAAAUAUAUGAUUUUUUUUUUUAAGGAACCAUUUAAUUAUUUUUAAAAUAUAUAUUAUUUUUUUCUCAUUUCAAUUUAUUUUAAGUGUGUAAGUAUAUUCAAAUAGAGUUGUGACAGUCGAUAAGCAAUCAACCAACCAGGUAUAGCAAGAUGGCUUGGUGGUAAAGUCAAAGCCCAAAGGCGCCGCUUGGAAACAAAACAACAACGACAGCGGUAAUUCACAAAACCAAAGUGGUAUUGGAAUACGUUUCUUGUCCAAAAAUUAAAGUUGAAGUAAAAUGUUUCUUGUCCAAAAAUUAAAAUUAAAUACUAGAGUAUGUUUAGAAAAUUAUUCGUUUUUUCCUUUCCUUUGUCACUACUAUAAAUAAAGCUCACUGAUACGUACUUGGUUCCACACACAAUUUACUCUUCUAGCAAAGCAAACAACGGACAUUUUAACUAUGUCGAACACUACUACUGGUCAGGUGAUCAAGUGCACAGGUACCAUCUCCUCUUUUUCUCUUUGUUACAAACAUGUUGAACAAAUUGUGUUUUGCUUUUUAUGGAUCUUUCAUUUUGUUUCUACAAAUUUUAAGUUUUUUUUAUUAAUAGUUUUAUUUUAUCUACACACUAUACUUGCACACUAUAUUUUUAUGAUUGCCACAUGCAUACAACAACUUAAUGAAUCCCUUGAUUGUGUUUUUGAACCAGCUGCGGUUGCAUGGGAGGCGGGGAAGCCACUGGUGAUGGAAGAAGUAGAGGUGGCACCACCGCAGGCCGGUGAAGUCCGUCUCAAGAUACUCUUCACCUCCCUUUGUCACACCGAUGUUUACUUCUGGGAAGCUAAGGUAUAUUACUAAUUAACCACACACACAUUUUCUGUCUAUUUGUCUAUGAGAAAAGUUAUUUCGACAACCCAAAAAAUUCAUAAGAGAAUUUUCUCUUAUGUAGUUUGGUUUGAUUACAUAACACGUUGGGGUGCUUAGUUUCUAACAAAAAAGUUAAUUUAUGUAAAAUUCUUCUCGGGUUUAAUUUUAGUUAGAACAUAUUAGCUUCCUGGUUUUUGGUUUAGUUUUAUAAAAAGGUUUUGAUGUUCUGUUGUGCAUUGCAGUGAUUUAAUAUGGUUUUCCCUUGUUUCAGGGUCAGACUCCAUUGUUUCCUCGAAUAUUUGGUCAUGAAGCUGGAGGGUAUGCUUCUCAUAUAGUAGUAUUAUUGAUUAAAUCUUUUGAUUAUCUAAUUUAUUAUGUAAUGUGAAUGAGUUUUAUUGAUAAUUGUCGGCACAAUGUUGAUCAGGAUCGUGGAGAGUGUAGGCGAGGGUGUGACACAUCUAACACCAGGCGAUCAUGCCCUGCUUGUAUUCACAGGGGAGUGUGGGGACUGUCCACAUUGUAUGUCGGAGGAAAGCAACAUGUGUGAUCUUCUUAGGAUCAACACUGACAGGGGUGUUAUGAUCAAUGACAACCAGUCAAGAUUCUCUAUUAAGGGACAGCCCAUUCACCAUUUCGUCGGUACAUCUACAUUCAGCGAGUACACUGUGGUUCAUGCCGGAUGUGUUGCAAAGAUCAACCCUGAUGCACCACUUGACAAAGUUUGUAUUCUCAGCUGUGGAAUAUGCACAGGUAUAGGAGAUUCCAAUGUUUAGAUAUUUAUAUAUAAUUAGGCUGAGUCUAUGUUUCUCUAAUUCAAUUUGCUUCCAUGCUUUUACAGGUCUUGGUGCUACUAUCAAUGUAGCUAAACCAAAACCCGGUUCAUCUGUUGCUAUCUUUGGCCUUGGAGCUGUUGGGCUUGCGGUAUGUUACUCUUAUACCUUGAGUGUGCAUGCACGUGUUUGUGCGUGUUGCAAAUUGCAAUUAUUAUCGGAAAUGAAAAGAGCCAAUAUUAACUUCUGCCCUUCUCUUAAACCAAAAUUUAGGCUGCUGAAGGAGCCAGGAUAUCUGGUGCAUCAAGAAUCAUUGGAGUUGAUUUAGUUUCCAGCCGAUUUGAAUUAGGUACAGUGCUUUCUUAUUCCAUCAAAUGCUUGUAGAUUCUGGUUAACAUGAAUUCAAUGACUAUUUCUUUUAUUGAUGGCAUUUCUUAUUUUUUUCUUGUUGACAGCUAAGAAGUUUGGGGUAAAUGAGUUUGUAAACCCGAAAGAUCAUAACAAACCUGUUCAACAAGUUAGUUCAUUGACAAUUUAGUAUAUAGUAGUUUAUUAUAUUUCUGUUUUCAAUUUUGAAUUUUAAAGCAUGAUUCUAUGAAUUAUAAUGUUGUUGGUGUGCAGGUAAUUGCUGAAAUGACAAAUGGAGGUGUGGAUCGUGCUGUUGAAUGUACCGGGAGCAUCCAGGCCAUGAUCUCAGCUUUCGAAUGUGUCCACGAUGUAUGCAAAACAAAAUUCAUUUGUUCUAACUUGUUGCUAAAGAAAUUAUAAAGCUUAUUGAGGCUAAAGCUGAACCUUUAUUUGUUUUUCUUAGGGUUGGGGUGUUGCUGUACUUGUUGGAGUGCCAAACAAAGAUGAUGCAUUUAAAACACAUCCUAUGAAUUUGUUGAAUGAAAGGACUCUUAAGGGUACCUUUUAUGGUAACUACAAGCCUCGCACCGAUCUUCCUAAUGUUGUAGAGAAGUACAUGAAAGGGGUAAGUUUUUAUAUCAUAUUUUGAAUUGUGAAGUCUUUUAGGAGAAUUGAUAUUGCAGAAUUAUAUCUUAUCCGUGUGUUGAAGCUAAUUUGAUUUGUUAAUACUGCAGGAGCUGGAACUUGAGAAAUUCAUCACUCACUCAAUCCCAUUUUCAGAGAUUAACAAAGCUUUUGAUUACAUGCUGAAAGGAGAGUCCAUCAGAUGCAUCAUCCGAAUGGAGGAGUAAAACUCUAAAACAAUGAUGUAAUAAUCCCUACUAAGGGACUCAUUUCUCUCCUUGGUUGUUGAGAAAAAAAAUUUCAUAAAUAAUUCUUUUGGAUUAUGAAGUUUGUGAGAAUUUGUGAAGUUUACAUGUAAAGAAUUGUGCUGUUGGGAUUCUCUAAUACAAGAUAAGCUAGAUUUUGAUUUUGUGAUUUUUUAUUGUUGUGGUAUUUUAAGUGAUUUUUACUCUACAAAGGAAAAAGGGUAAACAGUCCAAACAAAACACUAAGAAGAAACCAUACUACCCUCAAAGAUGAUAUACUAUCAGAAAAAUAAACAAAAGGCUGAAAUCUAGAGCCAAACUGUAAGGAGUUUACAAAAUUAUGCAGAUGCUAUCAAAGUAAUUUUCUUCAAUAAUAUUUUGUCGUUUUUUUUCACCAAUUCUCUAUCCCUAUUCAUAGAUGCUAAACAUAACAUAAAUUAGUCUAUUUGGCUUACUGCUAACGAACCAAACAUGAUAUUGAUUCAUAACCAUAAGAUUCCUCCAUAGCAAUAGGCUUCAGCAGGAAUCAAAUUUUGAUUCCUUAACCAUGUAUAUCAAUUCACAUUGGCCUCAACUACUUGUUCUCUAUUUAUUUUACAGAAUCAUCAUACACACUUUAUGCACAUUGUUGAACAAAUUCGUCAUAUUUUUCUAUUAAUAUAAUUUUAUUUUUGUAUUAAUUUACUCACUAGUUUUUUCGUAGUAUUUCUUUAUUGAAGAUUCAACUAAGCUUGGACUUCAUCUUUUUGACCAGCUCAUCGGCACGCUCUUGUAGCCUCCUAAUAUUAGAUGCAAGUCCAUACAAGAGCUCUUGUGCACAUUUUCCCUCGCUAGUCAAUCCUUCUGGCUUCUCCAAUCUCACCGUCCAAUCAAGAACUCUAAUCUAUCAAUGUAGUCACUAAUCAUGUACACACCAAUACAUUGUGUCAAUGCGGAAAAAUGACUGAAGAUGUAUGGGUUCCCACAAUCAUUCAUCAAUUGUCUGUGAAUCUUUAUGUUGUUACUUACUAUCAUUUUUGCUACCGUGUAUGUGGGGUCCACUUCUCGAAGCUUUUCAACAAUUCUCUCGUAUGCAAUCUCAUGGCGUUUCUCAUGCGCAACGAUUGUGUUGCAUAUGUUUGCAAGCACUAGAUCAACACUCUCGAUAGCCACUCGAGCCAUACUUACUACUAUCCAAUACAAAAAUUGCUCGUUUUUUGGAAGGAUGUUUACACAAAUGUAUGGGUUGUUUUCUACGGAAAAUACUUGGUGACAUUGUGUUUUGGCGAUAUUGAUGACUUUAAUGUAUUUAAUCGAUAGAUGAAUGAUUAAAAUAAAUUAUAUUGAUGAUGAUAUAUACAUUCUUAAUGAAUUAUUUAAUUUCUCCCGAUUUUCCUUGCUUUUUUUUUUUAAAAUGGAGAAGAUAUUAAAGUAAAAAAAAAAAAAAAAAAAAUCAAUGCAUGAAAAUUGAAAAGUAAAAGAACAACGAUUAUGGAAAUAUAUUUAUUCUUAAGACAACUUGGUCAUUCAAGAGAUGUUUAUGAUCAUGGCUGUAGUGAUUCUGAACAAUCAUCUCAAGUUUUCUCAUAUUAUUUACAACCCAAUCCAUGUGAAAAAAAAACAUGCCCGAUGGUCAUGCCAAUGUACUAGCUCAUUUUAACAACUCUAAAACAAACAACUUAGAAAAGAAACUUGAGAAAAACGACGCACUCACACUUAUAGGUAAAAAAGAUAUACAUGUAUAAAAGUAAAAUAAAAUAUGUAAAAAAAAAUCACCUUAAUGAAUCAUAUCAAUGAUAUAAUUAAAAAAUCACCUUAAUUGAAAAUUAUUUUUUACAAUAAAACAUCAAAAUUUAGAUAAAAAAAAGUAUUAAGAAUAAGAAGGGAAAAGAAAAGGGGAAAAAGUCAAUAAGACAGAGAGUCGAAAACCAGCUUAUGUUGGUUGGUGGCAAAGUCAAAGCCAAAGGCGCCGGUUGGAAAUAAAACAACAGCAACAGCGGUAUCCCACAAAACCAAACCAAACCAAAGUGGUAUGUAUUUUAAUGUUUCUUGUUUAAAAAAAUUAAAGUACUAUACUAUGUUUGGAAAUAGAAAAUCAUUCGUUUAUUUUCUAUUCCCACUAGUGCAAGUACUAUGCACCUAUAAAGGUCACUGACACGUAGUUAGUUCCAAACACAACACAACACGAGUACUAGUAGCAUUGCAAAGCAACAAACAACUUACUACUCACCCAUUCGAUUCCAUUCUAAAUUUUCUGUUCAUUCAUCAUGUCCAACACUGCUGGUCAGAUCAUCAAGUGUAGAGGUACCAUCUAUUUAUCUCAAAUUUUGUUUUGAUCUUGUUUUCUAGAAUAUUUUAAUCAUCGAUCCAUCCUUUUUUUUUUUUUUUUUUUUUUAUAAGGAUCCUUCCAUUUAAACUGUUUUAUUUUUAUUUUUAUGAUUUCACUGAAUUAUGUGAUUUUCUUAACUGAAUCCCUUGUGUCCGGUGUUUGUACUCGUGUUUCAUAUCAUACUACUUACUAACUGAAUCCCUUGAUUGUGUUUUGGAACCAGCUGCGGUUGCAUGGGAAGCGGGGAAGCCGCUGGUGAUGGAAGAAGUAGAGGUGGCUCCACCGCAGGCCGGUGAAGUCCGUCUCAAGAUACUCUUCACCUCCCUUUGUCACACUGAUGUUUACUUCUGGGAAGCUAAGGUAUUUUUUUGAUUACAUAACACGGCGGGUGCUUAGUUUUCUUACACAAAAGUUAAUUUAUGUAAAAUUCUUCUUAGGUUUUCAUGUUCUGUUUUGCAUUGCAGUGAUUUAAUAUGGUUUUCUUGUUUUCCUUUGUUUCAGGGUCAGACUCCAUUGUUUCCUCGUAUAUUUGGUCAUGAAGCUGGAGGGUAUGAUUCUCUUCUGAACAUUGAAAGUUGAAUCACAUAUUAUAAAUCUUUCUCUUUAUAUAUUAUUGAUUAAAUCUGUUUGAUUAUCUAAUGUGUUAUGUAAUGUGAAUGAAUGUUAUUGAUAAUUGUUGGCCUAAUGUUGAUCAGGAUUGUGGAGAGCAUAGGCGAGGGUGUGACACAUCUAAAACCAGGCGAUCAUGCCCUGCCUGUAUUCACAGGGGAGUGUGGGGACUGUCCACAUUGUAAGUCGGAGGAAAGCAACAUGUGUGAUCUUCUUAGGAUCAACACUGACAGGGGUGUUAUGAUCAAUGACAACCAGUCAAGAUUCUCUCUUAAGGGACAGCCCAUUCACCAUUUCGUCGGUACAUCUACAUUCAGCGAGUACACUGUGGUUCAUGCCGGAUGUGUUGCAAAGAUCAACCCUGAUGCACCACUUGACAAAGUUUGUAUUCU
RNAcentral lists this long non-coding RNA (23910 nucleotides) under Medicago truncatula (barrel medic). RNAcentral describes it as "long non-coding RNA (MTRU_LNC001038)". The record is from RNAcentral. Lineage: Eukaryota; Viridiplantae; Streptophyta; Magnoliopsida; Fabales; Fabaceae.